This 123-nucleotide small RNA is filed under the name Deinococcus gobiensis I-0. RNAcentral describes it as "hypothetical noncoding RNA". The record is from RNAcentral. Lineage: Bacteria; Thermotogati; Deinococcota; Deinococci; Deinococcales; Deinococcaceae.
GGCGAGGGUCGGGUGACGCUGCCCAGAUCCAUGGUUGUUCAGCUUGAAGAGGCCAUCAGCAGUGACGCACGGGAGGGGCUAACCGGGCUGGAUGCUCAGGACUAUUCCCCUCUUCUCGGGGAG